GACGAACGCGGCGGCGUGCCUAAUACAUGCAAGUCGAACGCUUCUUUUUCACCGAACUUCGGUUCAUCGAAAAAGAGGAGUGGCGAACGGGUGAGUAACACGUGGGUAACCUGCCCAUCAGAAGGGGAUAACACUUGGAAACAGGUGCUAAUACCGUAUAAUGCUUUUUCUCGCAUGAGAGCAAGCUGAAAGGCGCUUUUGCGUCACUGAUGGAUGGACCCACGGUGCAUUAGCUAGUUGGUGAGGUAACGGCUCACCAAGGCCACGAUGCAUAGCCGACCUGAGAGGGUGAUCGGCCACACUGGGACUGAGACACGGCCCAGACUCCUACGGGAGGCAGCAGUAGGGAAUCUUCGGCAAUGGACGAAAGUCUGACCGAGCAACGCCGCGUGAGUGAAGAAGGUUUUCGGAUCGUAAAACUCUGUUGUUAGAGAAGAACAAGGAUGAGAGUAAAAUGUCAUCCCUUG
This 467-nucleotide ribosomal RNA is filed under the name Enterococcus sp. oral taxon A43. Its description in RNAcentral is "bacterial SSU rRNA". It matches the Rfam family "Bacterial small subunit ribosomal RNA", at positions 28 to 471 of the family's 1533-position model. Lineage: Bacteria; Bacillati; Bacillota; Bacilli; Lactobacillales; Enterococcaceae. The record is from RNAcentral.